UACAGAGGGUGCAAGCGUUAAUCGGAAUUACUGGGCGUAAAGCGUGCGUAGUCGGUUAUUUAAGUCGGGUGUGAAAGCCCCGGGCUCAACCUGGGAAUUGCAUUCGAUACUGGAUAGCUAGAGUUCGGCAGAGGGAAGCGGAAUUUCCGGUGUAGCGGUGAAAUGCGCAGAGAUCGGGAGGAACACCAAUGGCGAAAGCAGGUACCUGGACCAUUACUGACACUCAACUGCGAAAGCUAGGGGAGCAAACAGG
This 253-nucleotide ribosomal RNA is filed under the name uncultured bacterium. RNAcentral describes it as "partial 16S ribosomal RNA". It matches the Rfam family "Bacterial small subunit ribosomal RNA", at positions 524 to 776 of the family's 1533-position model. The record is from RNAcentral.